AGUGAACGCUGGCGGUAGGCCUAACACAUGCAAGUCGAACGGCAGCACAGUAAGAGCUUGCUCUUACGGGUGGCGAGUGGCGGACGGGUGAGGAAUACAUCGGAAUCUACUUUUUCGUGGGGGAUAACGUAGGGAAACUUACGCUAAUACCGCAUACGACCUACGGGUGAAAGCAGGGGAUCUUCGGACCUUGCGCGAUUGAAUGAGCCGAUGUCGGAUUAGCUAGUUGGCGGGGUAAAGGCCCACCAAGGCGACGAUCCGUAGCUGGUCUGAGAGGAUGAUCGGCAACACGGGACCUAGGACACGUUCCAGACUCCAACGGGAGGCAGCAGUGGGGAAUAUUGGACAAGGGGCGCAAGCCUGAUCCAGCCAUACCGCGUAGGUGAAGAAGGCCUUCGGGUUGUAAAGCCCUUUUGUUGGGAAAGAAAAGCAGCAGGUUAAUACCCCGCUGUUCUGACGGUACCCAAAGAAUAAGCACCGGCUAACUUCGG
Molecule: ribosomal RNA, 491 nt
Filed under: uncultured bacterium
Lineage: Bacteria
Description: partial 16S ribosomal RNA
Rfam family: Bacterial small subunit ribosomal RNA
Source: RNAcentral